GGCCCGUUUGUUCAUUUACCUGGAGUUAAAACAGGGCUCUGACUUGCUGCUUACAGAGGGCCGAUAAGAACGAUUAAUAUUUAACAUUCCCCAGCCUGCUUACGUGAAAUGGCUCAAAGGAGACACCCAUAAGAAUGUUGCAGCCUGAAUCAGCAACGCUGGAAAUGGGUGCUUAUUUUCCCCACCAGAAGGCAUGUCGCACAGCACUGCCACAUGUGUUCCCCUUGCAGCAGUGACCGUGUUGCAUCAGUUGCAUACCUCAGCUCAGCGCCUUGCUGAGAGCCCGGGCACUGCAGUGAUAGUUUCACUCCAUAGGCACAAAGAACAGUGCAGUGUCCAUAAAACUCAACAGCCAAAGCAGAACAAACCCCCAUAGACCGAGCCUGCUCACAGAUGUUGGAGGUGCACUGAGUUUUGCUAGAGAACAGGCAUCAUCAAACACCACUAUGGCAAAUGAAACCCUCUCACACGAAUUAGCAACAGAGCAGAGCUGACAAGUCCUGCAGAUGUAGCACCUGCAGUAAUGAUCGAAUCAAAGAGAAGCCUUGCUCUCGAUGCAUUUCAGACUGAGUAAUCUUUAACAAACUCUGGAGGAAGGGUCCAUUCUGACCCCGAAGCAGCACACUGAGUCUGUUCAUCUCGCAGAGCAGCCACAAGUGCCACCUUUGUACACUGCCAUGCAGGUUAAGGGCAGCUGCAGAGGACACUGCCUGAAAGUAAGCUGAAAAAAAAACAUCAGCUAAAGUCAGGAGGAAACAACCUGCUCUGCACUGGGGACAAAACCAGGCUUGGUACAUGUGGCAUGGUUUUUCAUUUCCAGUCAUAAUAAACUUCCUCAGAAGAAAAGCAAGUUUUGAAGAGUAUUCUAGGAGCAGCAGCAUCUGAAAUGCCAACUUUUCUGCUCUCCAGACGUGGUUCUUCAGAACAAUUUGUUGUAGGCAUUUGUGACAGAGCCGUCCCUUGCACGACAGAGGACACAGCACACUCCACAGCAGGACACAUCUGUUGUUUGUCCUCAAUCCAUGUCAGAGAGUGACAAACUCAGUCUCCUGGUUCAGAGAUAUGCACCCUUAAGUAGCGGUCCUCAAAACUCCAUACAGGCUAUAGGAGCUCCUCCACAAAACCCAUGUGAAUCCAGCCUCUUCAGCUUCACCACAAGCAAGACUGCUUUCACACAGAGAAAGCCUUGAUGCCUGCAUGGAGGUCUGAAACUCUACAGCUGUCCUGUAACACAUCAGUGAGAGGUUUCCAGGCAAGGAGGACUCACUAACAGCAGAGACGACCCCUUGUCGUCUCAACUGCUCAACUACUCAACUACUCAACUACUCAACUACUCAACUACUCAACUACUCAACUCACUCAACUAAUGAGGCUCCAGGUCAGUGUUCCUGUUUCAAGAACAGCUAAGUACACAUGCUGCAAAUGAUGGCAAAAAGGCCAGAUGGGUCCUUAGCAAAGCCCAGGCCUCCUGGACCUUGUGCAUUGCUGGGAUAUAAAUGCCUAAGCCUCGCUCGUCAACACUGGCUUUGGAAUUGCACCUCAACCAAUUGCUUUGGGAGCUCCACUGCAGGCUGCUUUGUUAGUGGACUGCAAACACACAGAUUGCCAGGAGCUGAACUCAAGAAAGUUGCACUAUUCUGCCCUGAAUAGCCUUGCUAGGAAAGCCUUCCUGCAGUAUUAACCACAAGAAAUGUCCAAAGUGCAGCACCCAGCCUACCUCACUGCCCAGGCAAUGUAAGACCAACUCUGAUUCAGUUCACAUCGCACUUACUUAUUUUUCCACCCUCAGCAAUUUUAUGUAUAUUUCCAGGCAUUAAGAUGAAGGGAAGCAAGUUUUAUGGCAAUUUACCUCAAAUCCAGCUCAUUUUCUACCCAUCUUUCUAACCACGUAUGUCCAUUCUAUAAGCAGCAUCAAAUCUGAUACAUGGCAAGGGAACAAUAACUCCUGCAAUUGUAAUUGCUGAGUACUGGCAUUACUGAGCGUUCACGUUACAAUUGAAGAUUAGAAGCCUACAACAAGUCUUUCCUGUCUCACCAACUGCAAGCUUCCUCGACCUGAGUCAGUCCAGAAGAGCAGUUUUGGGUAGUCUAAUGCUGUCACUAUUUCAUACUCAGCACACUGUGUAACCUCCAAUUAACACUGAGUGUUCUGAAGACCUAUCCACCUUGGAUCCAAGGACUGAAGCUUAUAGAAAGGUCUCUGAGCCACUCUCACGCUGGCUAAUAUUGAAGACUUACUCAUUUUCACUUUGUCCCAACAAGUGUAUAACACACAAAUCUAUUUUCAGCAGCCAGUGGAUUCAUAAUAGGUUUCAAACUGAAAACCAGCUUUUGCUUUCCGAAAGAACAUCCUUCCCACAGCAGUCACCACUUACAAAUACAACCUACUUCUUUUCUUCCAAGAGCUCUUCAACUCUUUUCACAGGAUGAGCGUUAGUCCUAUUUCCUCAGUAGAAAUCUCUUAGCACACAAAGAGAGUCGUGAUGCCUGACUCUCAUCACCUUCACUCAUCUGAGCAAUCAGAAUCAGCUGCACCCAGAACUCCUGUAUCCUCCCCUGCAGACAUACUCCAACAGGAAUGCAACUACCCGAAGAGACAAACAAGCAAAAAGAAACAUGGAUUAUUUACCUGUGGUCCUGAAAACAGGACUUUGCGGCAGCUGUUCAGUAGAGUUAUGACAGCUAGGCCUAGAACAGCCAUGUGAGACUCAACUUCUUGCUGCAUGGGACAGUAAAUGAAUUUGUAACCUGAAGGAUCACUACUGUGCAGUAAGACUAAAUAUGAUGUUUAUGGAAUGUUUGCAUUUAGCUAGUGAGCUGUCUGCAGUUUUCAUGUCAAAUGAUCAAGACUUCUUGAUUUUGUCAAAAAUCAAAAGACUUUUUGUCUUCAAAGCAUUGAUAUUACUAAUUAUGACAGAUAGAGAAGAACAAGGGUAAAUAAGAGCAGGACAGAGGGAAAUGGUUUGAAGUUGAGGGAUGGAAGAUUGAGGCUGGACGUCAGGGGAAGUUCUGUGCUAUGAGAGUGGUGAGGUGCUGGAACAGCUGCCCAGAGAGGCUGUGAUGCCCCGUCCAUCCCUGGAGGUGUUCAAGGCCAGGUUGGAUGGGGCCCUGGGCAGCCUGCGCUGCUGUGAAAUGUGGAGGUUGGUGGCCCUGCGUGUGGCAGGGGGUUGGAGCUUCGUGAUCCUUGAGCUCCCUUCCAACCCUGGCCAUUCUGUGAUUGUAUGAAAAAAUAAGAGAGAAAAAAGCAACUCCUAAGCUGUAUUCAGUAUCCUUUUCCUGGCCACCCCUUGGCUCAGUGCACUCCUUGUACAUAGCCCUACACAAAAGGAAUUCUUUUUCCCAUCAUCAUCAACGUGGCCAAACUGACGGCACAAGAACUGGUCAUCUUUUCAACACAGAAAUACCAAAUCGUUGUUUUCCUGAUUUUUUAGCCCGAACCUUCUAAGCCCGAAAUUGUCCUUUAUAGAAAGACAAAAAGAAGAAAGAUUACAUCAAAGCCCACGCCAAAUUCUUUCAAAAUGUACUAGCAGAAAAGUUUCACCUGAAGCACAGCACAUUGUAAGCAUUCACACCCAGAAUGAACUUCACCACUUGUGGAAAAGUUUGAGCAAAUAGCAGUUAUGAGCAGAGGAGCUGGCAUGAGCCGUGUUUUCAUCUCUUUGAAUUCGUUGUCUAUUUCCUUUUUGUUUCUUUGCCUUCUUUUUAUGUAGGUGGCAUUGGCUGAGCAAAAGUUUGGCUUAUGCUGUCAAGUCCUGAAGAUUAACUACUCCUGGGAUUUGGACUCCUAAGUGACUUAGAGCUGUAGUUCUGAAAUAAUUAUCUCAUACUUUGCCCAAGGAGGCUGUGGAUGCCCCAUCCCUGCAGGCAAUCAGAGCCAGGCUGGAUGUGAUUCUCGACAGCCUGCUCUGCUGGUUGUCAACCUUGAACAUAGCAGGGGGUUCUAACUGGAUGGGCACUGUGGUCUUUUUCAACCCAGGCCAUUCUAUGAUUCCAUGUCUCUAUGACUUACAGAUCUAAGGUUAAACUUUCUGCAUCCAGUGUAUCUGAAAGGGGUGGUACAAGGAGUGGAAAACCUCAUGGCACGAUGACUAAAUUCCAUACAGUUAAGGACUGGCAGAGCAAAAGAAAUCAUAUAGCAGGACAAUGAACUGAUACCCCAGUUCAGAAAAGACGUAGAGAGGGAAGCCUAUGGACCUCCUGUGCCAUCCAGGAAGGGAGAGAGGAUCUGCACGCACAGAGAUUAUUUUAAUUCUAUCCACAGCCAUUUUGCUCAGGAAGCAGACAGAUUUUAAGGACAGUACAUUCAUGCUUUACGCCUUUAACCUGAAGAGAAUCCUUAGCCUUCUGUAUUCAUGCCUGACCUGUCAGAUUUAACGGGGAAUGCCAGGAUGAUCCAGAACUGAUGAAAUGAAUUUGAUGAUUGGGAAAUUCAAAUCAAUUUCGUUUACUGAGCCCGAGAAGUAAUCAGGAGAGAUCAUGGCUUCCAGGUUAAAUACCUUUGCUCUACUUUAUACUGCUUUAAGUUAAUCUUUCUAGUAGUCAGAAUGACCAGAACAGGUAAUCUUUAACCCCUACCAUUGACUAAGAAAGGUCAUGUCAUUUUCACUGCUGCGAUAUAAGUUGCCCUAGCUCUACAUGCACUUCACUUCUUGUCUUUUGUACCACAGUGGUGAUGCUGGUAAAGCAAACGUCCUUAAACGUUCAUGAAGUUUGUUGCCCCUUGAAUACUGUAAGAAUUUCUGUUAGAAAGAUAAACAAACACCGUUGUUGCCCACUUUCAAGCCAAGAAUUCCUGUAGCAAUGUUUAUAUAUGGUCAUAUCCAACAGAGACGAAGAUCAGCAUAGCUAUGGUGAAGUGAAUAGCUUACACCAAAGGGAAGAUUCAGACAUAACUCAAUACAGGUCAGUUUUCAACAUCUUCACACAUCAAAGCGUCUGAUCUAAAAGUUGGACUGUGAUUAGUCUGAGUGUUUUAAACCAAGCUAUGCCCACACCUGGAAACUGGUGAGGUUCUCUACAGGUGGAUUGGCCAACUCUAUGUCAGCAUAAAACUGUGAGUAUUGAUUCUAUGCUCGUUAAAGAUAGAACUGGGGUGAAGAUCUGUACAGACACAGCUCAAAUUCUCACGUGUGAAUAACCCUCAUUGCAAUAGUUACGUUCUGAGGCUGGAGACCAAGGAAAGAGAAUUUCUGCAUAUCUGUUCCACAAGACUGCAAAAUGGGAUUCUCCUUGGGCUGGUCCCUCUGUAGUACCCUCUUACACCUCUACAUUUCACAGCAUCGUGUUUUUCAGGUCAGAAUCUCUCACAUUAAGGCCCUUCCCCUCCAAAGGCCCAGUUGUCCAUCGCUCAGAACUGCAGCAUUGUCCUGAGGCUUUUGUCAAGUAAGCUGCAUAGCGUGAAGUGUUUGGACAUUCCAGCAGGGAAGAGAAAGCUCUCACUUCCUCUUGCACAGCAUGGCCCUUUUUGUUGCUAUUUUUUUUUUCCUCAUGGAAAUUUUAUACUAUCCUGACUUUGAGCGUAGCAUGAAAAGAACAAAAACAGAAUCAGGGGAGCUCCUUUCAGGAUACGUAAAGGAAUUCUGAUUUGAAUGUCUCCAGUUUGAGAUAAAGCUUCAAAACAUACUUUUAAACAGUUUCUUACUGUUUGUUAAAACUUUCCAGCAUGAAAAAACUUGCCAGAAUGGAAAGCCCUGUUUAUGGAAGGGCUGCUCCAAAAGUAAUGCCUCCUGUGUUCUUACGUUGGUUCACAACAGUGGCAACAGCAACAUGAAAGGCAAGCCAUAUUCUGGAAGCCACAUACGGCUGUCACACCAUGAAAUAAAGAGCAUCUUGGUCAUCUCAUCCAUGUGAAUUGCCUAAUGGUGGUGACUAUGGUGAAAAAUACUGCUUUGUAGUUGAGAAUUUGCUCCAUCAAAUAGUGUUACUGUGCUCUUUGUGUCAGUUGUUGUUUCUCUGUAAAUAAAUAGGAGGCAUUACUUUCAGAGCAACCCACACACCUCUGCAUUAUCAUUCCUUCAAUUUGGGGGUUCUUUCCCUCUUUCUGUGUGGAAAUGGUUACAUUCCUCAGAGUCUGAUUUUGCACUUUGCAUCCUCUGUAUCUUAUAUGAGACAGGUGACAGGAAAGAGCCCUUGGAUGGGCCAAAUCUCAGUGUUCGCACAGUGGCACACAAAUCAACAGCAGCUGCAACAUAAAACAGAGUCAUCACAGACCUUUAGGUUGGAAAGGACGCUGGGGGGGGUCACAGGGCCCACUUCUCUGCUCUGAGCAAUGCCACCUUCGAAGCCAGAUUGAAAUUCAACGAUAGUUUUGAUUCGGGUCAUCCCUACGUAUUUUCAAGGCAAGAAUUUGGCCCUCGGAUGAACGCGCAGUGUGCGUUGCACUGUUUGUCCUUGUGUCCCCUUUGCUGACAUUUGAACAAAGCAGGUUUUCUGGUUUGGUUUGGUUUGUUUUUUUUUUUCUUUUUGUUUUUUUUUUUUUUUUCAGGAAUUUCCAAAUAAUUUGGCUUUUAAUUACAAAGAAUUGGACUAAAACCAGACUGCAACACUAAUGAAUGCUGCAGUGCUGCUUCAGAUUCUUAGCAGUGGCUCUGCAUGCAGUAGGCUGUUCUUCUCUUACAAUGGCAGGUUACCAUUUCAAGAAGAGCUUCUAUUCAGAAGCACAGAAACACUGAGCAAGUGUUGUUUCCCUGUGACUAAAUCCCAGGACAUGCUGGGGUUUCUCUGCUGUGUUUGGAGAACACGUGGCAUUCUGUUUUGCUUUUCGUGAAGGUGUUCUUGCUCUCUUGCUUUCAACAAGCAUAUUGACAGACCUCAUGUAGAUGCAUCUCUGCAUUUUCAGAACGACACGUGCUGUUUGCAGUAAUUUCUAAAUAAGUAUUUUCCCCAUACCCUGUUUUACUAUUUGAACAGACCAUGAACUACCACCACUACUACUGCUGCUGCUGCCACCAUUAAUUCCACCUUCUUUGUAUUUAUCCCAGGUGAGACAUUUUUCACUAAAAACAAGCAGUCUAUGACUGUGUUCUUACCAAACUCUUAAUUCAGUACCCUUCUCCAACACCCUGACAUUGAGGAUGAAGCACAUGCUUUCUUCUCUGGUCUCAUUCACUCUUCACUUUCCUACUACCUGUCACGUGUCACAUUAUUCACUUGUGCUUGCUGUUAAUUAAAAUCUUCAACAAAACUGGAAAUGGUACAGCAAUGCUGUUAUAUCAUAUGCAAUAGGUAACAACAUUGCUUUUACAACUAAGGUUAGAGAAACACGUCGCCACAAUGCCCUAAUUAUGAUAGAUUCUACAGUUCUUCAUAAGGGAAAAAAACUAUUCUUGAACUAUAAAGGCAGUGGUAAGUAUUCAUGGAAAGAGAGCUCUGAUUCCUGGAGUUCAUACGCACUGAAUGGUUUUGUCUUAUUCUGGCAGUGGUGAGGUCCUUAAGGACAGAAAAUGUAUGUGUGCUCUGUUUGAGGUCUGCCAGCGACUAAAGCUUUAAUGCAAGAAGAAUGCAAGGUAAAGAUUGCCUUCCACAUCUGAUGUUCCAGUGUUUUUCACCUGCCAAAUGGACACAUCCAUCCAAAAUAAGUAAAGCCACCCGAUUCUUUGCUUAUGUGAGGCGUUGUAUUGAUAAUUCCAAUAUUUUCUUUCCAAUAUCAAUGUUCCCCAAGUCUGCUACAAAAUAUUUAUAUUCUAGUGGAAUAGAAGCAUGUCAGUCAACACUAGCAGUGAAGCACCAGCUGGUUAACUCUCAGGAAGGUUACUGUACUGAAAAUGGGACCCUAGCUUACGUUCAGGUUCAGAUCCCAUAAUAGCCUACACCAAAAAUGUGCAAUUAAAAACACCUUAAAUGUGGAGGUUUAUGCAGUGGUCAGGCUGCUGAUUAUCUGGAUGAGGUCCUGAAGCCUGUGUGUAAUUCCUGAUUUAGCCAUCACUGUUCUUAGCUGAAGUCAGGCUUUUUUCCCAGGUCAUAGGGACGCUGGAAAAUGAAGCCCACAUUAAAAAAGGAGAGAAAAGGGAGCUUUCAGUGUUUUUUCCCCCAUUCCUUACUCCUUUUGAAUAAAGGUGAUCCUGGCUCUGUGCAGUGACAGCCAUCCCCCACCCCCCAGAUCAAUAUUUUAAUAUGACUUAUCAGAAAGAGAACAAAUUGUUUACUUUAAAACCUCAGGAUCCCAUAAAGGGCAAGGCAAAGGUGCCCCCUGGAAACAGAGGCCUUGAACAGCUGGCCACUGCUGUGAUCUCGUAAAAGAAAGCCAGGUUCUCCAGCCACUCGGGCACAGUGAUACUCAGCAACACGUCACACAGCAGCACCUGAGUUCUGACAGAUCCCAAUGGCACAACACAGGACCCCUGUCUGCGAUGGUCACUGUUUCUUCCAGUUAGUACCCAAAAUGUUCCUGCAGAGACAUCACACUAGGUGACAUGUUUUAUAGACUGAGGAGAAAGUGGAUGCAGAGAAGAGCAAGAUCUCCGAAGCCUCCAUGCUGUGUGCCUUUACUUCUACUACCAUGGGCUAACCAUCUGCUGCCAGAGCUGUGGAGUGUGACAAUGGUGUUUGUGUCCAAUCUAUCAAACGCCAUUAUCACACUAAAUAGCUACUGGUAGAUGAGACUUCGAGUCAGAGAAAUUAGUGAAUUAUAGCAAUACCUUUAUCUGCUGUACUGAGGAAUAAAUAAGCUUUCUUCAUUUCAGGAAGACUCCUUUUAUAAGUGGACCCACAGUUGUACGUGGGAAAAGCACACCCUGCCACGUGCCUUUCCAGAUCCCUAUUGCAGAACACACAAGAGUCACCUACAGGAAUCACACCAUCAGUGUUAGGAAUGUUGAUUUCACUGGAGUCAGUGCAGCUGUGGUUGCCUCUGGAAAACAAGGUUGGACUGAGAUUUUCCUGUUGGAUUGACCAUUGCUGUAGAGUACUGAAGCCAAUUACCUGGUGAACUCAAAGCCUGGUUCUUAUUUUUGCACCAAAGUAAAACACACGUGUUUCAAACAAUAAUUGGCUGAGAUGAUUGUGAUUUUCAAACAAAGCACCUUUCAAAAUUCUGAUAAAAAGCUUUUACAUCUA
Molecule: long non-coding RNA, 9054 nt
Organism: Tympanuchus pallidicinctus (lesser prairie-chicken)
Lineage: Eukaryota; Metazoa; Chordata; Aves; Galliformes; Phasianidae
Exons: 4
Source: RefSeq, a predicted model, not a curated record